RNAcentral lists this non-coding RNA (98 nucleotides) under Rattus norvegicus (Norway rat). The record is from RNAcentral. Lineage: Eukaryota; Metazoa; Chordata; Mammalia; Rodentia; Muridae.
GGGGUUGGGGAUUUAGCUCAGUGGUAGAGCGCUUACCUAGGAAGCGCAAGGCCCUGGGUUCGGUCCCCAGCUCCGAAAAAAAGAACCAAAAAAAAAAA